GUCUUGAACACUGCUGGAAGCCUACUAGAUAUUUAAUGUAAUCACCAUGAUAAUGGCUAAGAUUUAUUAAGCAUCUGCUAUGUGCUUUAUGGUGCUAAGAACUUCUCAUGUAUUUACUCAUUGAAUCUUCACAAAAACCUUAUGAACAUCAGAGCUGAUGAAUACUCAGUCAGAAGAAAUGCAGGCCUGCAGGUUUGUCCACAAAGUGUUCCCAUCAACCGUGACGGCUCUCUCAAAUGUUACUGUCUAUAUGAAUCCACCUUGGGAUAUUAGUAAAAUGAGUUUCUGAUACAGAAGAUCUAGAAAGCGCCUGAAAUGCUGAUAUUCUGUCUCCCAGGUGGAGGAGUUCAGCUAUUACCUUGACUUUGCCGAAGUCCUAGGCACU
Molecule: long non-coding RNA, 385 nt
Filed under: Homo sapiens (human)
Lineage: Eukaryota; Metazoa; Chordata; Mammalia; Primates; Hominidae
Description: HSALNT0386010
Source: RNAcentral